UUUCUUGCAUUGUUUUCGUGAGUGAUGAUUAUCAAGACAAGAAAAAUAUUUAAGGAUCAUUUAGUAUUUGCUAAAGAAGUUUAUAUUGUUGAUUGAUUGUUUUUGUUUCUGAAAAUAUCCUACGAACAAUAAUAUAGUAAAUAGUGAUGAAAAAGAUAUAAUCCGAGAAAUCAUAUAACCUAAAAAAAAAGGCGAGAAAAAAGAGAGAAAAGGUUGUGGGUUUCAUCCUUUCCGGCGGCCUCCACAGCGCUGUGAGAGGAGUGUGUAGCUCUAGGGUUUCCUUGUUUUCUGUGUGUAGUUUCUUCUGGGCAAGUGUUUUACAAUCGUGAUUUAAGGUGAGGAGGGGUGAAAAGAUUUGUUUUGAGCGCCGGUGAUAUCUCUUGCUGUCUUCGGAGUUGAUUUGGAGUCUUGGUUCAGAUCUAGUACGGCGAGCUUGUGAUUUGGAGCUCUCCCCUUCGAUUCAGAUCUGGGUUUGUUACCUAGGGUUUGGUCGUUUUGGUACUGUAGUAAUUUUUGGCCGCUGAUUUUGAUCUUUUGAUUCUCUUUUUGUGCUCUUCAUCUCUUGUUCCUGUUUCGUUGGAGGUCUAUAGUGAUGGCUUGUCCUUGUUUUUCUUGUUUGCUCGGUAGUUUGUUUGAGCCUUGUUUCUCUGUCAUGAGAAUGUGUUCAAUGGCAAUAUAGAGCUUGGACUUCAGGUGCAGUCUCCUUUUCCUAUUGUGGUAGUAGCAGUGUUCUCUUGUCGGUUCAGGAGGGUCAAAAAUGCGUUCCAGCCGUAUUGAGAGUUAUGUGGAGCGUGAAGCGCUCAGGCUUGUCGGGUUGUGAAGUCAUGGUUUUAGGUUUCUAGUUGGGGAUGGUAUCGUUUGACCGGCCAUAGACGGUAGCGAUAGAUCCGGGAUGAGAAGACUCGGUGUCUUCGGUUCUAGAAGUGGAAGGUAUCGUACGACGAGCUAAGGGCAGCUGCGAUAUAUCCAGAUCAUUGCUAUCUAGUACGUGGCAACAUUGGUUAUGCUGAAUCGUCCUUUACCUUUGUGUAGCUCGUUUUUGUUGGUUAUGUUUUAGCUGCGGUUCCUAGCUUAGGUUUCGUUCCGUGUUUAUGUUGUAUUUGAAAGUUGUCCUAGUGUGGGUUAUAGUUGUCUUUCUUUAGGUUUUUGUUUCUGGGGAUUUUAUGAUAUCCGCCAGCAUCUCUAACAAAACUUGUGUUCUAACUUUUAACUAGACCCUGACCCGCGAGCGAGCGCAGAUAAGAAUUUUCAGUUUUGGUUAUUUAUUUAACUAAAUUAUGUU
Brassica napus (rape) is the source of this 1282-nucleotide long non-coding RNA. RefSeq lists it as uncharacterized. The transcript is spliced from 2 exons. NCBI's taxonomy places the organism in Eukaryota, Viridiplantae, Streptophyta, Magnoliopsida, Brassicales, Brassicaceae. The record is from RefSeq and is a predicted model, not a curated record.